CCUACGGGUCGCACCAGUGGGGAAUAUUGCACAAUGGGAGCAAGCCUGAUGCAGCCAUGCCGCGUGUAUGAAGAAGGCCUUCGGGUUGUAAAGUACUUUCAGCGGGGAGGAAGGUGUUGUGGUUAAUAACCACAGCAAUUGACGUUACCCGCAGAAGAAGCACCGGCUAACUCCGUGCCAGCAGCCGCGGUAAUACGGAGGGUGCAAGCGUUAAUCGGAAUUACUGGGCGUAAAGCGCACGCAGGCGGUCUGUCAAGUCGGAUGUGAAAUCCCCGGGCUCAACCUGGGAACUGCAUUCGAAACUGGCAGGCUAGAGUCUUGUAGAGGGGGGUAGAAUCCCAGGUGUAGCGGUGAAAUGCGUAGAGAUAUGGAGGAACACCAGUGGCGAAGGCGACUUUCUGGUCUGUAACUGACGCUGAUGUGCGAAAGCGUGGGGAUCAAGCAGGAUUAGAUACCCUCGUAGUC
This 465-nucleotide ribosomal RNA is filed under the name uncultured bacterium. Its description in RNAcentral is "bacterial SSU rRNA". It matches the Rfam family "Bacterial small subunit ribosomal RNA", at positions 338 to 795 of the family's 1533-position model. The record is from RNAcentral.